This is a small nuclear RNA of Cervus hanglu yarkandensis (Yarkand deer), 118 nucleotides long. Its record names the gene U2. It matches the Rfam family "U2 spliceosomal RNA". From Rfam's summary of the family: U2 is a small nuclear RNA (snRNA) component of the spliceosome (involved in pre-mRNA splicing). Complementary binding between U2 snRNA (in an area lying towards the 5' end but 3' to hairpin I) and the branchpoint sequence (BPS) of the intron results the bulging out of an unpaired adenosine, on the BPS, which initiates a nucleophilic attack at the intronic 5' splice site, thus starting the first of two transesterification reactions that mediate splicing. The record is from Ensembl. Lineage: Eukaryota; Metazoa; Chordata; Mammalia; Artiodactyla; Cervidae.
AUCACUUCUUGGCCUUUUGGCUAAGAUCAAGUGUAGUAUCUGGUACCUAUGGACCUCUUUAAUUCAAACUAGGGUAAUAUGGACUGGUAAAUAAAAAUGACCCAGCUGAAGACACUCU